RNAcentral lists this ribosomal RNA (253 nucleotides) under uncultured bacterium. Its description in RNAcentral is "partial 16S ribosomal RNA". It matches the Rfam family "Bacterial small subunit ribosomal RNA", at positions 524 to 776 of the family's 1533-position model. The record is from RNAcentral.
UACGAAAGGGGCUAGCGGUGUUCGGAGUUACUGGGCGGAAAGCGCACGUCGGCGGCCAUGUAAGUUGGGGGUGAAAUCCCGGGGCUCAACCCCGGAACUGCCUUCAAAACUACAUAGCUAGAGGAUGUGAGAGGAUAGUGGAAUUCCGAGUGUAGAGGUGAAAUUCGUAGAUAUUCGGAAGAACACCGGUGGCGAAGGCGACUGUCUGGCACAUUUCUGACGCUGAGGUGCGAAAGCGUGGGGAGCAAACAGG